AGAGAGAGACAUGCGCGCAUAUCAAUAAGCGGAGGAAAAGAAACUAACUAGGAUUCCCUUAGUAACGGCGAGUGAAGCGGGAAGAGCUCAAAUUUGAAAUCUUCAAGGGUUUACCUUUACGAAUUGUAGUUUAAAGAAGUGGUUUCUGUUGAGGUUUUGGUAAAAGUUCUUUGGAAUAGGACAUCAUAGAGGGUGAGAAUCCCGUAUUUGACCAUUACUUUCCAACUUUGUGAUACACUUUCAAAGAGUCGGAUUGUUUGGGAAUGCAGUCCAAAAUGGGUGGUAAAUUUCAUCUAAAGCUAAAUACUGGCGAGAGACCGAUAGCGAACAAGUACCGUGAGGGAAAGAUGAAAAGAACUUUGAAAAGAGAGUUAAACAGUACGUGAAAUUGUCAAAAGGGAAGCGUUUGACACCAGUGUUGUUUUCUCGAAAAUCAAUUAAAAAGAGUUAGGAUUUUGUUGUGUAUUGACCUUAUCAGCUUCUGCACUUCAUUUUCUUGUCUUUUUUAAUGCACUUUUCGUUUAACAAGUCAACAUCAAUUUCUUUUGUUGUAAAAAGGGUCAUUGGAAGGUGGCUUUCUUUUCGGAGAAAGUGUUUAUAGCCUUUGACUCCUGCAAUCGGAGAGACUGAGGUCUGCAGCGUAGAUCCUUCGGGGUUAGAUACAUUUGUGCUAAGUUAUAGCCUUUUAUAGACAACUUGUUGACUAUGAUUAGUCAUUGUAGCUUACUCGCUUAUGCUAUUUUACCUACGCUUAGGAUGUUGAUGUGAUACUGCGAGCA
RNAcentral lists this ribosomal RNA (779 nucleotides) under uncultured Neocallimastigales. RNAcentral's name for it is "partial large subunit ribosomal RNA". It matches the Rfam family "Eukaryotic large subunit ribosomal RNA", at positions 23 to 643 of the family's 3401-position model. Lineage: Eukaryota; Fungi; Neocallimastigomycota; Neocallimastigomycetes; Neocallimastigales. The record is from RNAcentral.